Long non-coding RNA from Myotis brandtii (Brandt's bat), 395 nucleotides. RefSeq lists it as uncharacterized. The record is from RefSeq and is a predicted model, not a curated record. The transcript has 4 exons. NCBI's taxonomy places the organism in Eukaryota, Metazoa, Chordata, Mammalia, Chiroptera, Vespertilionidae.
CUCCCUGUGCUGCUGCUGCUGCUGCUGCUGGUCCAGGGGUCCCGCUGUGAGGAGCACGUCUCGCAGGCCUGCAGCCCCUAGGGCCUGGCCACCCGGCUGCUCAGGCAGGGCUUCCCCAGGACCGGAGGAGAGGGGUGAGCGGCCCAAGACGGAAGACACAGUCUUCUUCUCACUGGAUCUACGUGCCCGCCCCAGCCCCAUCGUUCCUGGCAGGGGCCCAGAGGUGACUUCCCAGUGACGCAUUUGCUGGCUCUGAAUUUGUCACACAGGUUCUGUGGGCGCCCUGCUGGUGCCCUUGGGCGGGAAGAGGGGAGUGGAUCAGAGGCCUGAGUCAUGCAGUAUGAAUACUGGAACCCUCAGUUGCUGUACAGGGGGAACCCCAGAGCCCUAGGGGG